GUAACUCUGGAGAAUCCCUUAAAUGGGUGCCGAAGGUGUAAGGCUCGAACGUAUCGCGCUAAUCUCUCAGGCAAAAGGACAGAGAU
Molecule: non-coding RNA, 86 nt
Filed under: Clostridium merdae
Lineage: Bacteria; Bacillati; Bacillota; Clostridia; Eubacteriales; Clostridiaceae
Description: Glycine riboswitch
Rfam family: Glycine riboswitch aptamer
About the family: This family represents the bacterial glycine riboswitch.
Source: RNAcentral